GCCAGGUGCAGUGGUGCGUGCCUGUAGUCCCAGCUAUUCAGGAGGCUGAGGCUGGAGGAUCUCUUGAGGCCAAGAGUUCUGGGCUGUAAUGCGCUAUGCUGAUUGGGUGUCAGCACUAAGUUCGGCAUCAAUAUGGUGACCUCCUGGGAGCGGGGGACCACCAGGUUGCCUAAGGAGGGAUGAACCGGCCUAGGUCAGAAACGGAGCAGGUGAAAACUCCCAUGCUGAUCAGUAGUGGGAUCGCGCCUGUGAAUAGCCACUGCACUCCAGCCUGGGCAACAUAGCGAGACCCCGUCUCU
RNAcentral lists this signal recognition particle RNA (299 nucleotides) under Saimiri boliviensis boliviensis (Bolivian squirrel monkey). RNAcentral's name for it is "Metazoan signal recognition particle RNA (ENSSBOG00000000472.1)". It matches the Rfam family "Metazoan signal recognition particle RNA". From Rfam's summary of the family: The signal recognition particle (SRP) is a universally conserved ribonucleoprotein. It is involved in the co-translational targeting of proteins to membranes. The eukaryotic SRP consists of a 300-nucleotide 7S RNA and six proteins: SRPs 72, 68, 54, 19, 14, and 9. The record is from RNAcentral. Lineage: Eukaryota; Metazoa; Chordata; Mammalia; Primates; Cebidae.